GAUGAACGCUGGCGGCGUGCCUAAUACAUGCAAGUCGAGCGAAUGGAUUAAGAGCUUGCUCUUAUGAAGUUAGCGGCGGACGGGUGAGUAACACGUGGGUAACCUGCCCAUAAGACUGGGAUAACUCCGGGAAACCGGGGCUAAUACCGGAUAACAUUUUGAACCGCAUGGUUCGAAAUUGAAAGGCGGAUUCGGCUGUCACUUAUGGAUGGACCUGGGUCUCAUUAGCUAGUUGGUGAGGUAACGGCUCACCAAGGCAACGAUGCGUAGCCCACCUGAGUGGGUGAUCGGCCACACUGGGACUGAGACACGGCCCAGACUCCUACGGGAGGCAGCAGUAGGGAAUCUUCCGCAAUGGACGAAAGUCUGACGGAGCAACGCCGCGUGAGUGAUGAAGGCUUUCGGGUCGUAAAACUCUGUUGUUAGGGAAGAACAAGUGCUAGUUGAAUAAGCUGACACCUUGACGGUACCUAACCAGAAAGCCACGGCUAACUACGUGCCAGCCGCCGCAGUAA
This 515-nucleotide ribosomal RNA is filed under the name uncultured bacterium. Its description in RNAcentral is "partial 16S ribosomal RNA". It matches the Rfam family "Bacterial small subunit ribosomal RNA", at positions 28 to 523 of the family's 1533-position model. The record is from RNAcentral.